GCCAGAUGCAACCAAAUUUUCAUUUUUUGUAAACACAAUGCUGAACAAUAAUUUUUGAAAUACAAAUUUGAUUAGGAUUUGAAGUGAAAGUUCACCAUUCAACUUUAAUGGAAUAACUUUUUUUCCAAAGAAAUUGUAUAUAAGUACUUCUUUAACUUUAUUUCAAAAAUUAUUUUUUUAAUUUCAAUCAAAAACAGUCCAAACGUCUACAUCCCGCUUAUUUGUAAUGUUACUAGGCUAGUAACUACUCCCUCCGUUCCAAUUUAUAUGAACUUAUUUCAUUUUUGGUCUGUUCCAAAAAGAAUGACUUCUUUCUAAAUUUGAAAACAAUUUAGCUUAAACUUACAAUUUUAUCCUUAAUGAGAAGUUUUUAUAACCACACAAAUACUCUGGACACCUUUUUAACUUGUUUAGGACCACAAAUUUCAAAAGUCUUCAUUUUUUCUUAAACUCCGUGCUCAUCAGUCAAACAGGUUCACAUAAAUUGAAACGGAGGAAGUACAUUAUUCUCUGUCUGUUUCAUUUACGUGGCAUUGUUUAGUUAGACAUAAACAAAAGAAUACUUUUAGAAUUUGUGAUAUUAAACAUGAUAUAAACAUAUGUCUGACUAUAUGACUUUUGAUGCUUCUAAUCUUAAACAUGCAUAUAUUUAUGUUAGUAUAAAAACUAUCAUCAAGAGUAAAAUUAUAAGUUUAAAUUAAAUUAUUCCAAUCUUUAAAAGAAAUCAAUCUUAUUACAGGCUAAUAAGAAAAUAAUUAUAGAAAAUGAAACUAUGUGGAUAUAAGUUUUCUUUAUUAGUAAGUGGCGGAUCCAGGAUUUUGUACAAGCGCAAGUUUGUUUUUGUCUUUAUUAUUCACAACAUGAUCUCAUAAUAAAGUCCUCUUAAAGUUGGUGCUCUAUAUUUUAAAUAAUUUUGCUUAUUUUAAUUUAAAAAUCUAAUAUUACCUGAUUUAUUAAACUUUAACAAAAAAAGGGCCAAUUUUAGAAUUUAUAAACUCUAAGAAAUUUGAUCGAUUAUAAAAUCUUUUUAGCAUUUAUAAGUAACGAGUUAUUUUUUGCAAAAGAAGACAAUAAGAAAAGAGUUGCAAACUAAGCUAAUUAACACCAAUAAUCAAAGAAAGAGAGCUUAUACACUAAAAAAUUAAAUAUAAAAAAAAAGUUCCAACAUAAACUAAAUCAAAUUAAACUAACAAAUGACAAAUAAUUUCAACAAAUAUAUUUGCAAGCCUUAGCAAAUUUUAUAAAAGGGAGAACUAAAAUUAUCUUCUAGGGUAAAAAAAAACUUCCGUAUAAUUUUUAUUGAAUUUAUGUAAAGAAAAUAAACUAUAAAAUAAAAUAAAGAAAACGGCAAAAGAUAUACUACAAGGAAAAUAAUUUGAUUUGAUUGCAAAGACAUCUAUAUUGGACUAUAUUGCUAUCUUUAUGGGUUUGUAUCUCACGACCCAUAUUUCCCACCCUCGGGAGUCGUGAUAGUACCUGCUCGUGAAAGCCACGCAAGCCGAGUAUUAUGGAUUUACUCUUUUAUUUAACCCUUUUUAACAAUUUAAAUCAACAUGCGAUCAACAGUGAAAUAUUGACAAUAAUCAAAUACAUGUGGAAGACGUAAUCUGAUAACUUAGCCAAAAACAAGUACGACAAUAUCAAGUACAUCUCUACCCGGAACCAGUAUCACAAUACCACAGACCGUCUACGAAUACUACACACAAUUGUUUGGAAAGAAAGAUACACUCUGUCUCUGAAGUAAAUAAAACAGAAUAUAAAGAUAGAAGAGAACGUCAGGGCCUGCGGACGCCCGCAGGACUACCUCGGGAUCUCUGACUGGACUGAAGGCUCGCGUUCGGGGAGCUUCAGCCCCCAGAGCCUUCGCGUUCACGGUCGGGUGGCCGCGUUCGCGUAGAGUAAAAUCCCUCUCCCCCUGCCCAGGCCCAAAGGCCUUCCCGUUCGCAAUAGCAGGUCCGCGUUCGCGAAGGGAAACACCCCCAAAGCUUCGCGUUCGCGUCUUGUGUCUCGCGUUCGCGUAGAAGGAGAUUUCCUUCAGCUUGACUAAUCCUUCGCGUUCGCGAGAGUCCUUCUGCGAACGCGAAGAACAACACACCAGAAUAGCAGAAACUGAAAACCUGCAACUUUUUCUAAGUUCAACAACCUUUUGAGACCUAUCUGAAACUCACCCGAGCCCACGGGGCUCCAAGCCAAACAUGUACACUACCUCAAAAAUACCCUACGGACUUACUCGUGCGAUCAAAUUGCCAAAAUAACAUCAACAACUAUGUGUUUAGCAUCAAAAUCAUGAAAUCACUCAAGAAAUUUAAAUUUUCUAAUUUUUCUCAAAUACCGUCUAAUUCACGUCAUUUCCAGUCCGUUUCUUACCAAAUUUCACAGACUCGACUUAAACCACAUAUAAGACCUGCACCGGGCUCCGAAACAAAAAUAAGGGUCCAAUACCAUCAAAUUUUAAACACAUUUCAUUUUCAAAAACUCAUAAAUAUUCGAGAAAAUAAUUUUCUUCAAAAAUUCAUUUCUCGAGCUUGGGACCUCGAAAUUCGAUUCCGGGCAUACGCCCAAGUCCCAUAUUUUCCUACGGACCUUCCGGAACGGUCAAAUCACGGGUCCGGGUCCGUUUAUCCAAAAUGUUGACCAAGUCAACUUAAAUUCAUUUUAAAGUUAAAACUCAUCAUUUUUCAUAGAUUUUCAUAUAAUGGCUUUCCGGCUAUGCGCCUGGACUGCGCGCGCUAAUCGAGGUGAUGCUGAAAGAUGUUUUUAAGACCUCGGAAUGCAGAAAUUUAUUUCUAAAGCAAGUGAUGAUAUUUUGGCUCAUCACAUUCUCCACCUCUAAAACAACCGUUCAUCCUCGAACGGACAUAAGAAGGAAGUACCUGAGUUGGGAAAAAAUGGGGAUAACGGCUCUGCAUAUCGGACUAAGACUCCCAGGUCGACACCUUAGUAGGCUGACCUCUCCAUUGAACACGAACAAAAGAAAAACUCUUUGAUUUCAACUGACGAACCUGCCAGUCUAGAAUAGCUACCGGCUCCUCCUCAUAGGACAAGUCCUUUUCCAACUGAACAGUGUUGAAAUCUAAUACGUGGGAUGGAUCGCCGUGAUACUUCCGAAGCAUGGACACAUGAAACAUUGGAUGCACGGCUGAUAAGCUCGGUGGCAAUGCAAGUCUGUAAGCCACCUCUCUCACUCUAUCAAGAAUCUCAAACGGGUCAAUGAACAUAGGGCUAAGUUUGCCCUUCUUUCCAAAUUUCAUCACGCCCUUCAUAGGCGACACCCGAAGCAAUACCCGUUCACCGACCAUGAAAGCCAAAUCACGAACCUUACGAUCGGCAUAACUCUUUUGCCUGGACUGAGCUGUACGAAGCCUAUCCAGAAUAAUCCUGACCUUGUCCAAGGCAUCCUGAACUAGAUUUGUACCCAACAACCGAGCCUCUUCCGGCUCAAACCAUCCAACCGGCGACCGACACCACCUACCAUACAAGGCCUCAUAAGGAGCCAUCUAGAUACUCGAUUGGUAGCUGUUGUUGUAGGCAAAAUUUGCUAAAGGCAAAAACUGGUCCCACGAGCCUCCAAAGUCAAUGACACAAGCUCGGAGCAUAUCCUUCAAAAUCUGAAUGGUCCGCUCAGACUGCCCGUCUGUCUGAGGAUGAAACGUUGUGCUCAACUCAACCCGUGUGCCCAACUCUCGCUGAACUGCUCUCCAAAAAUGCGAGGUAAACUGCGUACCUCGAUCCGAAAUGAUAGAUACGAGCACACCAUGAAGACGAACAAUCUUCCGAAUAUAGAUCUCAGCUAGCCUCUCGGAAGAAUAUGAGACUGCCACAAGAAUGAAAUGUGCUGACUUAGUCAGCCUAUCAACAAUAGCCCACACUGCAUCAAACUUCCUCUAAGUUCGUGGAAGUUCAACAACGAAGUCCAUGGUAAUACGUUCACACUUCCACUCAGGAAUCUCAAUCUUUUGGAACAAACUACCAAGUCUUUGAUGCUUGUACUUAACCUGCUGACAAUUCAAACACCGAGCCACAUAUGCAAUAAUAUCCGUCUUCAUUCUUCUCCACCAGUAAUGCUGCCGCAGUUCCUGAUACAUCUUAGCGGCGCCCAGAUAAAUAGAGUACCGGGAACUAUGGGCCUCCUCUAAAAUCAACUAUCGGAGUCCAUCCACAUUAGGCACACAAAAUCGAUCCUGCAAUCUCAAAACUCCAUCAUAUCCUAAGGUAACCUGCUUGGCACCUCUGUGCUGCACCGUGUCUCUAAGGACACACAAAUGAGGAUCAUCAUACUGUCGAUCUCGGAUACGCUCCAAUAAAGAAAAAUGAGUGACUGCGUAAGCUAACACGCGACUGGGCUCAGAAACAACCAACCUCACGAACUGAUUGGCCAAAGCCUGAACAUCUAAAGCAAGCGGCCUCUUACCGACCGGAAUAUAAGUAAGACUACCCAUAUUGGCUGACUUCCUACUCAAAGCAUCAGCCACCACAUUGGCCUUUCCCGGAUGAUAUAAGAUGGUGAUAUCAUAGUCCUUCAACAGCUCCAACCACCUUCUCUGCCUCAAAUUUAGCUCCUUCUGCUUGAACAAGUAUGCAGACUCUUGUGAUCUGUGAACACCUCACAUGUCACGCCAUACAAAUAAUGCCUCCAAAUCUUCAAUGCGUGAACAAUGGAUGCCAACUCUAAAUCAUGAACCGAAUAGUUCUUCUCAUGAAUCUUCAACUGCCGCGAAGCAUAGGCAAUGACCUUGCCAUCCUGCAUCAACACCGCACCAAGUCCAAUACGAGAUACAUCACAAUAAACUAUGCAAGGCCUUGAACCUGUGGGCAAAACCAACACUGAUGCCGUGGUCAAAGCAGUCUUGAGCUUCUGAAAGCUCGCCUCAUACUCGUCCGACCACCUGAACUGGCCACCCUUCUGGGUCAACCUGGUCAUCCGGGCUACAAUAGACGAAAACCCCUCCACAAACCGACGAUAGUAACCUGCCAGACCCAAGAAACUCCUAAUCUCUGUAGCUGAUGCGGGUCUAGACCAAUUCUUGACUGCCUCUAUCUUCUUCGGAUCAACCUAAAUACCCUCUGCUAAUACAACAUGACCCAAGAAUGCAACCGAACUCAACCAGAACUCACACUUCAAAAACUUAGCAUACAACUGACUAUCCCUCAAAGUCUGAAGAACCACUCUAAGAUGUUGCUCGUUGUCACACCUCCUUUUUACCUACACCCCCGUAAAGGGCGUAAAGGAAUUUUUCCAAUUAAAGGACAAUCGAAACGGGAUUAUUAUUAAAAGAUUCAGUGUUGCCACUUGAGAGAUUUAUGGUGUCCCAAGUCACCGGUUGAAUCCCGAAUCGAGGAAAAGUUUGACUCUGUAUUACAGUUCGCGAACCAGAAAUCCGAGUAAGGAAUUCUGUUAACCCGGGAGAAGGUGUUAGGCAUUCCCGAGUUCCGUGGUUCUAGCACGGUCGCUCAACAAUAAUUGGCCUAUUAUCUGAUUUUAAUACAUGUUUUAGCCUAUGGUAUAAUUUUAAAUUAUUAACCGCUUUUUAUUAAUUUUAGGAAGAUUAAACGUCAUCUAAAACACGUCUUGAACCACGUUACAUAAAUGCACCCGCGAUCCACGACACAUUUUAUCUAACGUUGUUGAGAUUUGGAUUUGGGUCACAUAAAUGCACACCCGAAUUUGGAAAUUAGGUAUCGUAACUAUGUCACGGGAACCGUACCCACAAUCACGAUGGUUUAUUUUAUUAACAAAAUUAAAUUAUAGCCGGGUCCCAUAAAUGUACCCCCAGAUUUUAGAAUUUAAGUGCCAUAACCACGUCACGGAAACCGUACCCAUAGCUAUGACAAAUUUAAUUAAACGUGCCUAAAACAAAACUACGAGAGUUUUGUGAUUAUUUUUCCUACAAAUAGAUUAACCCUUUCAUUCAAAUAAGAUCCAAAUUCAAACUUAAUGUCUUCAACGUAAUUGGCAUGAGCUUAAAUAAUCAGAAUACUCCAAAAUAACACAAAGGAAGAAUACGCUAGAAUAGAAUUAAUAAUUAUCCCAAAAUUCAAGAUUAACUUCACAAAGAUUCACUUUUCUUAUCCCUUAAGCACCUGAAAUGUUACACAAAUAAAUAUGCAUAAUGAAGAAUUUAUAAUAAUAAACACUUGAGGCUAACUAGAAAGCACAAGCUAUGGGUUUCACUUCGGGACAUAGGCGAACAAACAUGGAAUUGACACAGUUAAAUUGAGCCUGUAAUUCAAUUGAGAGUCAUGCUAAAUCUGGAGAAAAUCGGUAAAAAAAUUGCCGAAUGAGCCAUUAGAUUAAAACACCAAUUUCCACUUUUAUGGAAGAAAUCGAAAAAAAAAGAAAAGAAUUUUUUUUUUAUCAACUUCAAAUGCAAUAACAAACAACAUUCACAUCUCAAUUAAUAAUAAAACUUGGACGGGUAGGCUUUGAUUUUUCUUUUGCGAAACCAAGCAUUCACAUCUCAAUUAUACUUUAAACUUGACACUUCCAUGAACUUCACCAUGAGGUUCAACAAACAAUUUUAAUGGACAGGAGCAAAAAUGAUAUCCAAAGCUAGCAACAUAGUGAGAAGGCAAAAAUUGGACCUUUGUAUUAAAUGAAUUUGAAGUUGAAAAACUUACAUCGGAACGAAGAUCGAACAAGAAACUAGCAACACCGGAACCUCGAACUUAAACCGGGAAUUGAUCUCGAACGGAAAGUCCAAAUCCGAACACCCACUCCAUUUUUGAAAACCGAAUCGGAAAGGACGAGAUUUCAGAAUAUAUCUUUACUUUUCUGAUUUUAUUUUUUUCAUUUUUUGAAAAAAAAAAAAAAAAUUGAGGAAACUAAAAAAAAUCUAGCAAUGGAAAGAAGAAAAACGUUCUCUGCUUUCCUCCCUUAAAUUUUUUCGUUUUUCGUUCCUCUUUCAUUUUUUNNNNNNNNNNNNNNNNNNNNNNNNNUAAUAGGACAGGAGCAAAAAUAGAUAUCCAAAGCUAGCAACAUAGUGAGAAGGCAAAAAUUGGACCUUUGUAUUAAAUGAAUUUGAAGUUGAAAAACUUACAUCGGAACGAAGAUCGAACAAGAAACUAGCAACACCGGAACCUCGAACUUAAACCGGGAAUUGAUCUCGAACGGAAAGUCCAAAUCCGAACACCCACUCCAUUUUUGAAAACCGAAUCGGAAAGGACGAGAUUUCAGAAUAUAUCUUUACUUUUCUGAUUUUAUUUUUUUAUUUUUUAAAAAAAAAAAAAAAUUGAGGAAACUAAAAAAAUCUAGCAAUGGAAAGAAGAAAAACGUUCUCUGCUUUCCUCCCUAAUUUUUUUGUUUUUUCGUUCCUCUUUCUUUUUUGUGUAUU
This 7331-nucleotide long non-coding RNA is filed under the name Nicotiana tabacum (common tobacco). Its description in RNAcentral is "long non-coding RNA (NTAB_LNC004395)". Lineage: Eukaryota; Viridiplantae; Streptophyta; Magnoliopsida; Solanales; Solanaceae. The record is from RNAcentral.